This 218-nucleotide unclassified non-coding RNA is filed under the name uncultured Tomentella. RNAcentral's name for it is "sequence contains ITS2". The record is from RNAcentral. Lineage: Eukaryota; Fungi; Basidiomycota; Agaricomycetes; Thelephorales; Thelephoraceae.
ACACCUCAACUCUCAUGGCUUGCCAUGAUGAGCUUGGACUAUGGGGGUCUUGCUGGCCUGUGGUCGGCUCCUCUCAAACGAAUCAGCUUGCCAGUGUUUGGUGGCGUCACAGGUGUGAUAAAUAUCUACGCUUGUGGCUUCCCGCCAGGUAACCUUCAGCAAUGGAGAUUCACUGGGGCUCAUAAAAGUCUCUCCUCGGUGAGGACAGCUCCUUGAAC